AGUGAACGCUGGCGGUAGGCCUAACACAUGCAAGUCGAACGGCAGCACAGUAAGAGCUUGCUCUUACGGGUGGCGAGUGGCGGACGGGUGAGGAAUACAUCGGAAUCUACUUUUUCGUGGGGGAUAACGUAGGGAAACUUACGCUAAUACCGCAUACGACCUACGGGUGAAAGCAGGGGAUCUUCGGACCUUGCGCGAUUGAAUGAGCCGAUGUCGGAUUAGCUAGUUGGCGGGGUAAAGGCCCACCAAGGCGACGAUCCGUAGCUGGUCUGAGAGGAUGAUCAGCCACACUGGAACUGAGACACGGGCCAGACGCCUACGGGAGGCAGCAGUGGGGAAUAUUGGACAAUGGGCGCAAGCCUGAUCCAGCCAUACCGCGUGGGUGAAGAAGGCCUGCGGGUUGUAAAGCCCUUUUGUUGGGAAAGAAGAGCAGCAGGUUAAUACCCCGCUGUUCUGACGGUACCCAAAGAAUAAGCACCGGCUAACUUCGU
RNAcentral lists this ribosomal RNA (491 nucleotides) under uncultured bacterium. RNAcentral describes it as "partial 16S ribosomal RNA". It matches the Rfam family "Bacterial small subunit ribosomal RNA", at positions 29 to 506 of the family's 1533-position model. The record is from RNAcentral.